CUGCUGCAGUAGAGGUCCCGGU
This 22-nucleotide non-coding RNA is filed under the name Arabidopsis thaliana (thale cress). Lineage: Eukaryota; Viridiplantae; Streptophyta; Magnoliopsida; Brassicales; Brassicaceae. The record is from RNAcentral.